GCUAUACAUGCAGUCGAGCGGACAGAAGGGAGCUUGCUCCCGGAUGUUAGCGGCGGACGGGUGAGUAACACGUGGGUAACCUGCCUGUAAGACUGGGAUAACUCCGGGAAACCGGAGCUAAUACCGGAUAGUUCCUUGAACCGCAUGGUUCAAGGAUGAAAGACGGUUUCGGCUGUCACUUACAGAUGGACCCGCGGCGCAUUAGCUAGUUGGUGAGGUAACGGCUCACCAAGGCGACGAUGCGUAGCCGACCUGAGAGGGUGAUCGGCCACACUGGGACUGAGACACGGCCCAGACUCCUACGGGAGGCAGCAGUAGGGAAUCUUCCGCAAUGGACGAAAGUCUGACGGAGCAACGCCGCGUGAGUGAUGAAGGUUUUCGGAUCGUAAAGCUCUGUUGUUAGGGAAGAACAAGUGCAAGAGUAACUGCUUGCACCUUGACGGUACCUAACCAGAAAGCCACGGCUAACUACGUGCCAGCAGCCGCGGUAAUACGUAGGUGGCAAGCGUUGUCCGGAAUUAUUGGGCGUAAAGGGCUCGCAGGCGGUUUCUUAAGUCUGAUGUGAAAGCCCCCGGCUCAACCGGGGAGGGUCAUUGGAAACUGGGAAACUUGAGUGCAGAAGAGGAGAGUGGAAUUCCACGUGUAGCGGUGAAAUGCGUAGAGAUGUGGAGGAACACCAGUGGCGAAGGCGACUCUCUGGUCUGUAACUGACGCUGAGGAGCGAAAGCGUGGGGAGCGAACAGGAUUAGAUACCCUGGUAGUCCACGCCGUAAACGAUGAGUGCUAAGUGUUAGGGGGUUUCCGCCCCUCAGUGCUGCAGCUAACGCAUUAAGCACUC
RNAcentral lists this ribosomal RNA (838 nucleotides) under Bacillus altitudinis. RNAcentral's name for it is "bacterial SSU rRNA". It matches the Rfam family "Bacterial small subunit ribosomal RNA", at positions 48 to 869 of the family's 1533-position model. The record is from RNAcentral. Lineage: Bacteria; Bacillati; Bacillota; Bacilli; Caryophanales; Bacillaceae.